UCCAUUCUGUUUUUCUAAUUGUUCUGUUCUCUUUAACUGGUGUUUAAAUGGUAUGUUUCGCAUGUUAUAUUACUGCGUUAUGCCGCCACCUAGUGGCGUCUUUUAUUGUAAAAUGUCGCAUGCAAGCAGGAAGUUGGUUUAGUUUCAUUUAGUCAGCAUGUGGUGCGCAUAUCUCCUGCUUUUCUGCAACGGUUUUCUUAUCAUGCUUCGUUUUGGACAUCAUUCUUCUUACAAAAAGGAAAUCAAGGACGUCUUCUGGUAAACGGUCAAGAAAAGUCACGCCUUGUCAUUUAUUUGAAGAUGUCUAAUGUUAACUAGCUGUCUCGUGUUGCAAGGGAACGGUUACGCGAAGGCAGCGUGCUGAUAUUUCAAUUUUCUUACCCAUUUUAAAUGCGCCUGUCAACACAUUAGGCAACAUAGGAGGCUGCAUAGGGCGCCAUAUUCUGAGGGGGCGCCAACUUAGCAAACUGCAAGCGCCACCCUUCUCUCUGUACAGUUUAGCAGAAGUAAAAUGCAGGCAGGUGGCCGCACAGCUGAACAGAGGGGCGUAUGCAGGCUUUGCUGAAGGCGAUGCAGCUUAGGAUGGUUUUGUGGUAAUAAAACAGGCUAUUUUUAA
Long non-coding RNA from Paramormyrops kingsleyae, 616 nucleotides. RefSeq lists it as uncharacterized. The record is from RefSeq and is a predicted model, not a curated record. Lineage: Eukaryota; Metazoa; Chordata; Actinopteri; Osteoglossiformes; Mormyridae.